GACCUCACAACGGCCGGCGCUGGAGCCCGGCAGCGCGUGCCCAGUCCUCGGCCCGCGCGUGCUUCCGGCGCUCUAGGGCGGAGCAGCCAGUAGCGGCCCCCGAUGGGGUUCGGGUUGCAGGGGCCCGCCCGCUCUACAGCUAGAAGGUAAACGGCGGGUGGCGCUAAUGGGCUGCGCCGCGCGUCAUCUUCGGGAGGGGAAGGAUUGAGACCCGUCCCGCCUCCUCUGAGGCGUGUUGCUGCGGUAUUUCCAGGCUUCCGUUUUCUGCCUUCACUGUGUAUUUCCCAGCACAGACAGAUUGUCAAAGGGCACCUGCUUGCUUUCUCUUCAGAGACUGAUAACGGAGUGAUUGUCAACAGUUACCAUGCAGCACUUCCUACACCAGCCUACUUUAUUCUUAAGGCACUCAAGCCUAUCCCCGUCACAGAUUUUCCCCCUUUCUUGCUGCAAGAGGAACAUGGCAUAAACACAGUAAUGUACAGAAACAAACAAGUUCAGAAUGUGGCCAUCUUUCUAGAUUUUGUCAAUUCUUAGCUAAUUUUUAAACAAUUUUAAUUUUGUAAGAUAUCCUAGUUAACAAAAGUAAAGAACAAGAUGGAUAUCCAGUUGUUUGUAUGCAUUUUAGUCCCAUACUCACAUCUUUAAUUUUUAAAUUAAAGAUCUUACAUGUA
Molecule: long non-coding RNA, 671 nt
Organism: Gopherus evgoodei (Goodes thornscrub tortoise)
Lineage: Eukaryota; Metazoa; Chordata; Testudines; Testudinidae
Exons: 3
Source: RefSeq, a predicted model, not a curated record